RNAcentral lists this long non-coding RNA (1180 nucleotides) under Gouania willdenowi (blunt-snouted clingfish). RNAcentral's name for it is "lncRNA (ENSGWIG00000017920.1)". Lineage: Eukaryota; Metazoa; Chordata; Actinopteri; Blenniiformes; Gobiesocidae. The record is from RNAcentral.
UUCCUGCUCCUCUCCAUCUAUGAGCAGAGUUCCCCGUUUGUACCCGGCUUCCUUGUUUCAGGUAAGUUGGCCUUUGCGUCUUGCGAGACGACUGAUGUCCCAGGCAACGACUGGUACCGGGACUUUUUUAAUGGUAAGGAUUUUAUUUUUUGUUUCUUUAUGACAGGCCACAGUUGGAGUGGUUGUCCUGUCACUGUUAUGAAAACAUGCAUAAUAUAUUAGGUUGAGUUAGGUUAGAGUUAAAAAUUAGAGAUAACCUUUUUAAUCCCAGCAAGUGAGGACAGGAGGAGACAUCAACAGAGGACAGAGGCUAAAGAAGACUUCUUUAUCAACCACAACAAUGUAAGUAAAAAUACUGAACACACCUUUACUGUAAAAAUAAACUUGACUUUAUAAUAAUGCUUGUAAAAUGUUAAACAGGAGCACCAGCAUCCACAGCUGCUUGAGGAGGAAACAUCAACAGAAAGCAAAACAAUUAAUCAUCCACUGAUGGAGGAGGAGGAUGAUGAAGAUGGAGGACAGGAGCACCAGUAUCCACAGCAUCCUGAGGAAACAUCAACAGGGGACAGAAAGACUUCUAUUCACCAAAACAAUGUAAGCAAAAAUACUACACGUUUAAUGAAAAAUAAUAUGUAGACAUUACGCUAUACUAAUGCCUGUAAAAUGUCAGACAGGAGUGCCAGCAUCCACUGAUGGAGGAGGAGGAUGAAGAAGAUGGAGGACAUUAGCACCAGCAUCCACAGCUGCCUGAGGAGGAAACAUCAACAGAAAGCAAAACAAUCAAAACAAUUAAUGUAAGUAAAGCCUCUCAUUGGCACAGAAAGACACUGAACUAAUGUUUAAUGUAAAAAUAGAGGUGACUUUAUACUAAUGCCUGUAAAAUGUUGGACUGGAACAAUGGCAUCUACUGAUGGAGGAGGAGGAUGAAGAUGGAGGACAGGAGCACCAGUAUCCACAGCAUCCUGAGGAAACAUCAACAGAGGACAGAGACUUCUAUUCACCAAAACAAUACAGGAGCACCAGCAUCCACAGCAUCCUGAGGAGGAAACAUUACCAGAGGACAGAAAGACUUCUAUUCACCAAAACAAUCAAUGUACGUAAAGCCUCUCAUUUACACAGAAAGAAUCUGAAUACGUGUUUAAUGUAAAAAUAAAGAUGAUUUUGAUACUAAUGACUGUCA